CCUACGGGAGGCAGCAGUGGGGAAUCUUGCACAAUGGAGGAAACUCUGAUGCAGCGAUGCCGCGUGAGUGAAGAAGGCCUUUGGGUUGUAAAGCUCUUUUGUAGGGGAAGAUAAUGACUGUACCCUAAGAAUAAGGUCCGGCUAACUUCGUGCCAGCAGCCGCGGUAAUACGAAGGGACCUAGCGUAGUUCGGAAUUACUGGGCGUAAAGCGCGCGUAGGCCGUUGAGUUAGUUAAUUGUGAAAUCCCAAAGCUUAACUUUGGAACUGCAAUUAAAACUGCUCGACUAGAGUUUGAUAGAGGAAAGCGGAAUACAUAGUGUAGAGGUGAAAUUCGUAGAUAUUAUGUAGAACACCAGUUGCGAAGGCGGCUUUCUGGAUCAACACUGACGCUGAGGCGCGAAAGUAUGGGUGGCAAAGAGGAUUAGAUACCCUCGUAGUCCAUACCAUAAACGAUGAUUGCUAGAUGUUGGAAAUUUAUUUUACAGUAUCGCAGCUAACGCAUUAAGCAAUCCGCCUGGGGAGUACGACCGCAGGUUAAAACUCAAAGGAAUUGACGG
Molecule: ribosomal RNA, 558 nt
Filed under: uncultured bacterium
Lineage: Bacteria
Description: bacterial SSU rRNA
Rfam family: Bacterial small subunit ribosomal RNA
Source: RNAcentral